UGGCGGCGUGCCUAACACAUGCAAGUCGAACGAGAAAGUGGAGCAAUCCAUGAGUACAGUGGCGUACGGGUGAGUAACACGUGACUAACCUACCCUCGAGUGGGGAAUAACUUCGGGAAACCGAGGCUAAUACCGCAUAAUGUCUGACCAAAUGCGCAAGCAGCUUGAGGAGGGGGUCGCGGCUGAUUAGCUCGUUGGCGGGGUAACGGCCCACCAAGGCAAUGAUCAGUAGCCGGCCUGAGAGGGCGCACGGCCACACUGGAACUGAAACACGGUCCAGACUCCUACGGGAGGCGGCAGUGGGGAAUUUUGCGCAAUGGGGGAAACCCUGACGCAGCAACGCCGCGUGGAGGAUGAAGCCCCUUGGGGUGUAAACUCCUUUCGAUCGGGACGAUUAUGACGGUACCGGAUGAAGAAGCACCGGCUAACUCUGUGCCAGCAGCCGCGGUAAUACAGAGGGUGCAAGCGUUGUUCGGAAUUAUUGGGCGUAAAGGGUGCGUAGGCGGUGCGGUAAGUCUUCUGUGAAACCUCCGGGCUUAACUCGGAGCCUGCAGGGAAACUGCCGUGCUGGAGUAUGGGAGAGGUGAGUGGAAUUCCCGGUGUAGCGGUGAAAUGCGUAAAUAUCGGGAGAACACCUGUGGCGAAAGCGGCUCACUGGACCAUUACUGACGCUGAUGCACGAAAAGCUAGGGGAGCAAACAGGAUUAGAUACCCUGGUAGUCCUAGCCCUAAACUAUGAUCGCUUGGUGUGACAGGUACCCAAUCCUGUCGUGCCGGAGCUAACGCGUU
Molecule: ribosomal RNA, 789 nt
Filed under: uncultured Acidobacteriota bacterium
Lineage: Bacteria; Pseudomonadati; Acidobacteriota
Description: bacterial SSU rRNA
Rfam family: Bacterial small subunit ribosomal RNA
Source: RNAcentral